This 497-nucleotide ribosomal RNA is filed under the name uncultured bacterium. RNAcentral describes it as "partial 16S ribosomal RNA". It matches the Rfam family "Bacterial small subunit ribosomal RNA", at positions 28 to 507 of the family's 1533-position model. The record is from RNAcentral.
GAUGAACGCUGGCGGCGUGCCUAAUACAUGCAAGUCGAGCGAACAGAUCAUGAGCUUGCUCGUUUGUCGUUAGCGGCACACGUGUGUGUAACACGUGGAUAACCUACCUGUAAUACUGGGAACUUUUCGGGACACCGGCUCUAAUACCAGAGAAGAUAUUGAUCCACGUUGGUCGAUGGUAAGAUACGGCUUUGCUGUCUCUUAUAGAUGGAUCCGGGCCGCUUUAGCUGGUAGGGGAGGUACCGGCCUACCACGGCAACGAGGCGUAGCCGACCUGAGAGGGUGAUCGGCCACACGGGAACUGGGACACGGUCCAGACUCCUACGGGAGGGAGCAGUAUGGUACCGUCCGCAACGGGCGAAAACCUGACGGAGCAACGCCGCGUGAGUGAUGAAGGUCUUCGGAUCGUAAAGCUCUGUUAUUAGGUAAGAACAAAUGUGUAAGUAACUGUGCCCGUCUUGACGGUACCUAAUCAGAAAGCCACGGCUAACUACGUG